Molecule: ribosomal RNA, 690 nt
Filed under: uncultured Acidobacteriota bacterium
Lineage: Bacteria; Pseudomonadati; Acidobacteriota
Description: bacterial SSU rRNA
Rfam family: Bacterial small subunit ribosomal RNA
Source: RNAcentral
GAUCCUGGCUCAGAAUCAACGCUGGCGGCGUGCCUAACACAUGCAAGUCGCACGAGAAAGUGGAGCAAUCCAUGAGUACAGUGGCGCACGGGUGAGUAACACGUGAAUCAUCUACCUCCGAGUGGGGAAUAACCUAGAGAAAUCUGGGCUAAUACCGCAUAACACUUACGAGUCAAAGCAGCAAUGCGCUUGGAGAGGAGUUCGCGGCCGAUUAGCUAGUUGGCGGGGUAAUGGCCCACCAAGGCGAUGAUCGGUAUCCGGCCUGAGAGGGCGCACGGACACACUGGAACUGAAACACGGUCCAGACUCCUACGGGAGGCAGCAGUGGGGAAUUUUGCGCAAUGGGGGAAACCCUGACGCAGCAACGCCGCGUGGAGGAUGAAAUCCCUUGGGAUGUAAACUCCUUUCGAUAGGGAAGAUAAUGACGGUACCUAUAGAAGAAGCCCCGGCUAACUUCGUGCCAGCAGCCGCGGUAAUACGAGGGGGGCAAGCGUUGUUCGGAAUUAUUGGGCGUAAAGGGUGCGUAGGCGGUCUGACAAGUCUGAUGUGAAAUCUAUGGGCUCAACCCAUAGUCUGCAUCGGAAACUGUCGGGCUUGAGUAUGGGAGAGGUGAGUGGAAUUUCCGGUGUAGCGGUGAAAUGCGUAGAUAUCGGAAGGAACACCUGUGGCGAAAGCGGCUCACUGGACCAU